This 253-nucleotide ribosomal RNA is filed under the name uncultured bacterium. RNAcentral's name for it is "partial 16S ribosomal RNA". It matches the Rfam family "Bacterial small subunit ribosomal RNA", at positions 1239 to 1500 of the family's 1533-position model. The record is from RNAcentral.
ACAGUGGGAAGCCACCUGGCGACAGGGCGCGGAACCCGAAAACCUGUCUCAGUUCGGAUUGGAGUCUGCAACCCGACUCCAUGAAGCUGGAUUCGCUAGUAAUCGCGCAUCAGCCACGGCGCGGUGAAUACGUUCCCGGGCCUUGUACACACCGCCCGUCAAGCCAUGGAAGCCGGGAGUGCCUGAAGUGCGUGACCGCAAGGAGCGUCCUAAGGCAAUACCGGUGACUGGGGCUAAGUCGUAACAAGGUACC